Pan troglodytes (chimpanzee) is the source of this 1731-nucleotide long non-coding RNA. NCBI's taxonomy places the organism in Eukaryota, Metazoa, Chordata, Mammalia, Primates, Hominidae. The record is from Ensembl.
AUGUUACAGAAACUCCAGAUACUACUCCCCUUCAGUGGUCUGAGUUGCGCGGCGCUUUUCCGCCUGUCCGGCAGGGGGCGCCGCGCAGAAAGCCGCAGUCCCUCUGCGGAAGGCGCCGCUCUUGGCUUCGGCGGCGCCGCUGUAGCUUGGAGGCGGUGCUUCCUCCAGCAUUUGCCGCGAGUUAUUGGCAAGUUCCCCUGCAGUUGUUUGGGCUGUCGCUGUGGCUGGUUCUGCGGUGUGCGGCCAGCCAUGGAGCGCUCUGGGCCCAGCGAUGGUAAAAAACCUCGCACAUUUGACUUGGAAGCAAUGUUUGAACAAACUCGAAGAACAGCCGUGGAAAGAAGUCGCAAAACACUGGGUAAGAAGUUCAGAUAUUUGUCGUUUUAUUGGUUUAAGUACUAUGUAUACCUCAUGCAAGUAUAUUAAAAAAGAGAAAAGAAUGUUGGCUGGGCGCCGUGGCUCACGCCUGUAAUCCCAGCACUUAGGGAGGCCAAGGCAGGCAGAUCACCUGAGGUCAGAAGUUUGAGACCAGCCUGGCCAACAUGGUGAAACCCCAUCUCAACUAAAAAUACAAUAAUUAGUUGGGCAUGGUACAGGGGCCUGUAAUCCCAGCUAGUCGUGCGGCUGAGGCAGUAGCUUCGGUUGAAGUCGGGAGGCGGAGGUUGCAGUGAGCUGAUAUCCCCCCAUUGCACUUCAGCCUGGGGGACAAGAGUGAAAUUCCAUCUCAGAGAACAAAGAAAAAAAAGAAUGUUGUUAUGCUACUUGUCACUGUUGGUUUUUUGUUUUUUUUUUUUUUGAGAUGGAGUCUCACCCUGUUGCCCAGGCAUGAUCUCGGCUCACUGCAGCCUCCACCUCCCCAGUUGAAGCGAUUCUCCUGCCUCUGCCUCCCGAAUAGCUGGGACUACAGGCACAUGCCACCAUGCCCGGCUAAUUUUUUGUAUUUUUAGUAGAGAUGGGGUUUCACUGUGUUGGCCAGGCUGGUUUUGAACUCCUGACCUUGUGAUCCACCUACCUUGGCCUCCCAAAGUGCUGGGAUUACAAACGUGAACCACUGUGCCCUGCUUUUUGUUUUUUGGUUUUUUUUUUUUUUUUUUUUUUUUUUGAGAUGGAGUCUCGCUUUAUUGCUGGGCUGGAGUGCAGGGGUGCGAUCUUAGCUCACUGCAACUUCUACCUCCCCGGUUCAAGCAAUUUUCCUGCCUCAGCCCCCCAGGUAGCUGGGACAACAGGUGUACGCCACCACGCCCAGCUAAUUUUUGUAUUUUUAGUAGAGAUGGGGUUUCACCAUGUUGGCCAGGAUGGUCUUGAUCUCUUGAUCUUGUGAUCUGCCUGCCUCUUAAAGUGCUGGGAUUACAGGUGUGAGCCACCGCACCCAGCCCAAUUUAUCAUUUUAAAACCAACAAUGAGCCAGUUGUAGUGGCUCAUGCCUGUAAUCCCAGCAUUUUGGGAGGCUGAGGUGGGUGAAUCACCUAAGGUCAGAAGUUUGAGACCAGCCUGGCCAACAUGGUGAAACCCCGUCUUGACUGAAAAUAGAAAAACUAUCCGGGUGUGAUGGUGGGCACCUGUAAUCCCAGCUACUAGGGAGGCUGAGGCAGGAGAAUCGCUUGUACCUGGGAGGCAGAGGUUGUGGUGAGCUGAGAUCGCACCAUUGCACUCCAGCCUGGGCGACAAGAGCAAAACUCCAUCUCAAAAUAAAUAAAAUAAAAUAAAAUAAAAUGGGCGACAAGGGGAAAA